GACGAACCACACAAACGUUAUUCGGAAUUACUGGGCGUAAAGCGCGCGUAGGUGGUUUGUUAAGUUGGAUGUGAAAGCCCCGGGCUCAACCUGGGAACUGCAUUCAAAACUGACAAGCUAGAGUAUGGUAGAGGGUGGUGGAAUUUCCUGUGUAGCGGUGAAAUGCGUAGAUAUAGGAAGGAACACCAGUGGCGAAGGCGACCACCUGGACUGAUACUGACACUGAGGUGCGAAAGCGUGGGGAGCAAACAGG
RNAcentral lists this ribosomal RNA (253 nucleotides) under uncultured prokaryote. Its description in RNAcentral is "partial 16S ribosomal RNA". It matches the Rfam family "Bacterial small subunit ribosomal RNA", at positions 524 to 776 of the family's 1533-position model. The record is from RNAcentral.